Molecule: long non-coding RNA, 1081 nt
Filed under: Homo sapiens (human)
Lineage: Eukaryota; Metazoa; Chordata; Mammalia; Primates; Hominidae
Description: PREDICTED lncRNA (TCONS_00275383)
Source: RNAcentral
ACGCAUGCGCAAGGCUUGAAUGGCGUCGGGGUUGGAGGGUUGGAAGGUCGGGAAGUGAAGGACUCGCAGGCAUAUUUAACAACGCAAAGUUGCUAGGAGUUGGUACCAGCGUUUGGGAGGUAGAGGUGGCGCUCAUGCAUAUUUGAGACAACAUCUGGAUGGUUGGGGAGAACGGUGAUGCCACACUCAAUCAGAAACUAUGCUACUGCUGAAGAGGUAUAUUGAGCCCUGCCUGGUUAACCUCCAGUGAGGUUAUUAGAGAAUUGGGAGAGGCUCAAAUCAGCAUCCUGCACCUAGUUAUCAAACCAUUGUGAAGUCUUGAUUCCUGGAUGGCCAGAAAACUUGUCAUUGGUCAAGAGCAACAUUAAGAUCUGCCUGUUACUCAUACUGAUGCUUCCUGCCCAGCAAGUUCAUCAGAGGGCGAGGAUGAAUUACGGUUGCCAUGAAUGUCCUUGUGAGGCAGUUGGGAAGCCUUGGCUGGAUUGUGAAGGAUAUUUGAAAAGUAUUUUAGAGUCCACCAGAUCAUCCAUGUGAGUGACCAUGCAGCAAAAGAAGGAGGGUCCUCUCAGUGAUUAAGGAUUAUGAAGUAUUAAUUCUUCCACUGAUAUCUCAAAAGGUGAUCUGGACAAAGGAACAGGUAUCUCAGAUUCCCAGUUCUCAAUCUUCCUUCCUCCUUACAAGAUACAAGCAACCUUCAACCUUCCCAGAGAUGGUCUCUGUAUAUGAAAGACAAUGGUCUUAUUAUGAAGUCGGCAUAUUUAUAGCUUGAUAAAAACUGAAAAAUCUGUAGCCUAUUUUUAAUAGUGAUAUAUAAGGAAAUAACAUAAAUAAAAAUUUGGCAACAAGAAUCCAGGAGCAAAUUUAUGAUCAAUACACAAUUGGGCAAGUGGUGUUCAUACCAACCAUGCAAAAAUGGUUCAAUUUUAGGAAAUCUUUGAAUAUAGCUUUUAGUAGGUCAGAGGAAAUCAGUAUCUCAAAGUACUUUCAUGAUUUAGUUAUUUUUAAGUUAUUGAUCAUUUUGGAUUUUAUUUUGAGGUUGAUAGCCAUAUAAUGAUUUCACAUUUUAUUUUAAAUGGCUAGC